RNAcentral lists this unclassified non-coding RNA (434 nucleotides) under Hevea brasiliensis (rubber tree). The record is from RNAcentral. Lineage: Eukaryota; Viridiplantae; Streptophyta; Magnoliopsida; Malpighiales; Euphorbiaceae.
AUUAAUUCAAUAUUUCUCUGCAUUUUUAAGUGUUUUUUUUUUAAGUACAAAUCAAAGCACCAAAACCACUUUGGCUUCAAGUCAAAAGAAACUCCAAUCUAUCUUCUAUAGCACGCCCGAUCACUCAUCACCCCUUAUCCUACGCACCUUUGGCCGGCUUUCAACGUUUCAGAUCCUUCAUGCCAUAGCCAAGCUCACACUCCCUCUCUGGACUGAUUGAAGAUAGUUUCCUGUUCUUGUCUUAAGCGUUUCGCUGCAAAAUUUUCAAUAGGGGAAUUCUUAAAAGCUUGAAACAUGAGCUGCUUUGGCUGUUGUGAAGAAGAUGACAUGCAUAAAACAGCUGACAGUGGAGGCCCAUACCCUGUUAAAAGUUCAGCAGCAGGAAGCAUUGGAGGUUACCCUGCAUCAGAAAAAGCACCUAAGGGUGCUCAGGC